AAGUCGUAACAAGGUUUCCGUAGGUGAACCUGCGGAAGGAUCAUUAACACGUAUCCAAACGUUAAAACCCCCCCGAUUGUGCAAGGAUAGCGCUUCUACGAUUCCUGUAGACCGUACACUCGGGCAGGAGCCUUGCCAAAGAGUCCCCAUGCCCCCUAAUAACGCCACAGUUUAAUGUGAAGCUCAAUGUAAUACAUUGGGUAAAAAAACCGAACAACUGUUAACAAUGGAUAUCUUGGUUCUC
Molecule: unclassified non-coding RNA, 244 nt
Filed under: fungal sp.
Lineage: Eukaryota; Fungi
Description: partial internal transcribed spacer region
Rfam family: Eukaryotic small subunit ribosomal RNA (bases 1-46)
Source: RNAcentral